CUGAAAACAAUGACUCAAGUUCAAAAGCUUUUAUUCCAAGGGCAAUGUGAACUACUUUGUACUCCAAGCUUUGUCUCUGUAAGUCUGAGCCGCUUAUGUUCCAAAGCAUCCCUACCAACGCUGAACAGCCGCGCUCAACUGGUGCGGGACCAGCGCUUCUUCAGCUGUUUCCUUGUCAUCAGAGUAGUGGUAAUGUGCUCCUGCCACUCCGCUAUCCCCACAAAUCGAAAAGCCGGGAUUUUAUCGGAUACGGUGCAGUUAUUUCCUCCUGACUCUAUCAGCUACUCAUGGACCCCUCGACCACGCCCUCUCGGACGUCACAAACUACAGGAGCAAGUUUAUGAAGGGCGUGAGACCAGGCUCUCGAGCGAUACGGCAUUGCAGUUCAAGAACCAGCACAGUUCUGC
This is a long non-coding RNA of Ornithodoros turicata, 407 nucleotides long. RefSeq lists it as uncharacterized. The transcript has 3 exons. The record is from RefSeq and is a predicted model, not a curated record. NCBI's taxonomy places the organism in Eukaryota, Metazoa, Arthropoda, Arachnida, Ixodida, Argasidae.